GGGUGGCUGCAGGGCAGCGCCAGGCAAGGCUGCGGAGAAGCCGGUGCUCCCUGUGUCUAGGAUGAAGAACAGAGCAGGGGGCUCCUCGGCGGUGUCGCUUCACCUCUCUUCCUGCUCCUUGAUUCUCUCCACCCCCACCACCAGCCCAGGUGGAGGCUCUCGGUGAUGAAGGUGCUGGCAGUGAGGGGCCUGCAGAGUCCGCA
RNAcentral lists this long non-coding RNA (203 nucleotides) under Homo sapiens (human). RNAcentral's name for it is "HSALNT0298662". Lineage: Eukaryota; Metazoa; Chordata; Mammalia; Primates; Hominidae. The record is from RNAcentral.